GACGGAGGGUGCUAGCGUUGUUCGGAAUGACUGGGCGUAAAGGGCGCGUAGGCGGCUCGUGAAGUCGGGUGUGAAAGCCCGGGGCUCACCCCGGAACGGCAUCCGAUACUGGCGGGCUUGAGACCGGGAGAGGAGGGUGGAAUACCCAGUGUAGAGGUGAAAUUCGUAGAUAUUGGGUGGAACACCGGUGGCGAAAGCGGCUCUCUGGCCCGGAUCUGACGCUGAGGCGCGAAAGCGUGGGGAGCAAACAGGG
RNAcentral lists this ribosomal RNA (253 nucleotides) under uncultured bacterium. Its description in RNAcentral is "partial 16S ribosomal RNA". It matches the Rfam family "Bacterial small subunit ribosomal RNA", at positions 524 to 777 of the family's 1533-position model. The record is from RNAcentral.